This 1113-nucleotide non-coding RNA is filed under the name Drosophila simulans. Its description in RNAcentral is "Eukaryotic large subunit ribosomal RNA". It matches the Rfam family "Eukaryotic large subunit ribosomal RNA", at positions 869 to 1888 of the family's 3401-position model. The record is from Rfam by way of RNAcentral. Lineage: Eukaryota; Metazoa; Arthropoda; Insecta; Diptera; Drosophilidae.
GGGGCUCCCACACAGUUCUGACGUGCAAAUCGUAUUGGUCAGAAUUGAGUAUAGGGGCGAAAGACCAAUCGAACCAUCUAGUAGCUGGUUCCUUCCGAAGUUUCCCUCAGGAUAGCUGGUGCAUUUUAAUAUUAUAUAAAAUAAUCUUAUCUGGUAAAGCGAAUGAUUAGAGGCCUUAGGGUCGAAACGAUCUUAACCUAUUCUCAAACUUUAAAUGGGUAAGAACCUUAACUUUCUUGAUAUGAAGUUCAAGGUUAUGAUAUAAUGUGCCCAGUGGGCCACUUUUGGUAAGCAGAACUGGCGCUGUGGGAUGAACCAAACGUAAUGUUACGGUGCCCAAAUUAACAACUCAUGCAGAUACCAUGAAAGGCGUUGGUUGCUUAAAACAGCAGGACGGUGAUCAUGGAAGUCGAAAUCCGCUAAGGAGUGUGUAACAACUCACCUGCCGAAGCAACUAGCCCUUAAAAUGGAUGGCGCUUAAGUUGUAUACCUAUACAUUACCGCUAAAGUAGAUGAUUUAUAUUACUUGUGAUAUAAAUUUUGAAACUUUAGUGAGUAGGAAGGUACAAUGGUAUGCGUAGAAGUGUUUGGCGUAAGCCUGCAUGGAGCUGCCAUUGGUACAGAUCUUGGUGGUAGUAGCAAAUAAUCGAAUGAGACCUUGGAGGACUGAAGUGGAGAAGGGUUUCGUGUGAACAGUGGUUGAUCACGAGUUAGUCGGUCCUAAGUUCAAGGCGAAAGCCGAAAAUUUUCAAGUAAAACAAAAAUGCCUAACUAUAUAAACAAAGCGAAUAUAAUACACUUGAAUAAUUUUGAACGAAAGGGAAUACGGUUCCAAUUCCGUAACCUGUUGAGUAUCCGUUUGUUAUUAAAUAUGGGCCUCGUGCUCAUCCUGGCAACAGGAACGACCAUAAAGAAGCCGUCGAGAGAUAUCGGAAGAUUUUCUUUCUGUUUAUAGCCGUACUACAUGGAAGUCUUUCGCAGAGAGAUAUGGUAGAUGGGCUAGAAGAGCAUGACAUAUACUGUGUGUCAUAUUUCUCCUCGACUUGAAAUUUGGGGGGACACGCAACUUCACAGGCGUACAUAUCCCGCUGUCUCCAGUGAAGAUCUCUAGUC